UCGUGGACAAAUGAUCAGAAGAUCCACACCUCUAUCCCUCAACAUAGCCCAAGUAGGCGGGCAACCCCAAGUCACCUUCCAUAGAAAUAUAUUUAUCCUUGGAUGCACCCCAAGUCUCCAAAUCCAUGAGCCAUCUAGCUACCUGACUGGCUUCACUGUACAUGUCAUAAAAGUUUGUAGCCCUCACCUUCAAGCUACAAGAGGAUC
RNAcentral lists this long non-coding RNA (207 nucleotides) under Elaeis guineensis (African oil palm). RNAcentral's name for it is "long non-coding RNA (EGUI_LNC038599)". The record is from RNAcentral. Lineage: Eukaryota; Viridiplantae; Streptophyta; Magnoliopsida; Arecales; Arecaceae.